UAGGGAAUCUUCCACAAUGGGCGCAAGCCUGAUGGAGCAACACCGCGUGAGUGAAGAAGGGUUUCGGCUCGUAAAGCUCUGUUGUUAAAGAAGAACACGUACGAGAGUAACUGUUCAUACGUUGACGGUAUUUAACCAGAAAGUCACGGCUAACUACGUGCCAG
This 164-nucleotide ribosomal RNA is filed under the name uncultured bacterium. Its description in RNAcentral is "partial 16S rRNA". It matches the Rfam family "Bacterial small subunit ribosomal RNA", at positions 355 to 511 of the family's 1533-position model. The record is from RNAcentral.